RNAcentral lists this unclassified non-coding RNA (438 nucleotides) under soil metagenome. RNAcentral describes it as "partial contains 5.8S ribosomal RNA, internal transcribed spacer 2, and large subunit ribosomal RNA". The stretch from base 1 to 120 matches the Rfam family "5.8S ribosomal RNA", at positions 35 to 154 of the family's 154-position model. The record is from RNAcentral.
GAUGAAGAACGUAGCGAAAUGCGAUACGUAAUGUGAAUUGCAGAAUUCAGUGAAUCAUCGAAUCUUUGAACGCAUAUUGCGCUCUUUGGUAUUCCGAAGAGCAUGCUUGUUUGAGUAUCAGUAAACACCUCAAAACUUUUGAUUUUUUUUUAAAAAAAAAAGGUUUUGGACUUGAGCAAUCCCAACACCAAUCUUUUUUAGAUCGGUGGCGGGUUGCUUGAAAUGCAGGUGCGGCUGGACAUUCUCCUGAGCUAAAAGCAUAUUUAUUUAGUCCCGUCAAACGGAUUAUUACUUUUGCUGCAGCUAAUAUAAAGGGAGUUUGACCGUAUUGGCUGACUGAUGCAGGAUUUCACAAGGGUCGGCAACGAUUCUUGUAAAACUCGAUCUCAAAUCAAGUAAGACUACCCGCUGAACUUAAGCAUAUCAAUAAGCGGAGGA